UACGUAGGGGGCUAGCGUUGUCCGGAAUCAUUGGGCGUAAAGGGCUCGUAGGCGGCCAACUAAGUCAGACGUGAAAUCCCCAGGCUCAACCUGGGAACUGCGCCUGAUACUGGAUGGCUUGAAUCCGGGAGAGGGAUGCAGAAUUCCAGGUGUAGCGGUGAAAUGCGUAGAUAUCUGGAGGAAUACCGGUGGCGAAGGCGGCAUCCUGGACCGGCAUUGACGCUGAGGAGCGAAAGCCAGGGGAGCAAACGGG
RNAcentral lists this ribosomal RNA (253 nucleotides) under uncultured bacterium. RNAcentral's name for it is "partial 16S ribosomal RNA". It matches the Rfam family "Bacterial small subunit ribosomal RNA", at positions 524 to 776 of the family's 1533-position model. The record is from RNAcentral.